UCGAACACCGCAGUAGAUAUAGCGUGGAGCAACAAAGAUGGGCCGCAGGUUUACGUACGCCUGAACCGAGUAGUAUUUAUAAAACGAUUUUUUCUACUUUCUGCACUGAAAUACCCAGUUAUGCAUGAAUUCGGCGUGCGCAAAGUAUCACUUUAAAACGAAAUCAACUACGAUUCGCCUAGAGGUGGCGUUUCCGUUAUCACCGAAAAAGGUGACGUCACAGUAUCUUACUUGCUAAUUCAACGUGCAAAUGAAAAGGAUUCAGGGCGGUACACGUGCCACCCAUCCAAUGCCAAUCCCAAGGCUCUGAUAGUUCACGUGCUUAACGGUGAACAUCCUGCUGCCAUGCAACACGGCGGACAACUCCGUCUAAAAUACCCAUUUUCGGUGGUUCUACUCAGCAUUUUUAUCACAUUAGUCGGACCUUGAGGCUAAUGAGGUAAAUGGGACCUGACCAUGUAAAUAUAUCCCAAUACUGGCUAUCUAUUUAAGUGUACAUAUAUCUGUAAAAAUAGCAUUUAAGGGGAAUCUUUAAGUACGCAUGAUAUUACUUUCCCAGAGAAAGAUUUGUCGGUGAGGAAUUAAUAAAAAAAACCUGCUGAAAACAAACUAUAUCUACCGGUAUAACGGUGAUCGAUGUUACGGAGGUGCCCCAGUGGUUUAAUGAAAAUGUAUUUUCAAAGAGUUCAAAUUAUUGACUGAGUCUAUGGAACGUCGUAACAAAUUUGUUGUUUUAAUUAUCUAAAUGAAUAUAUGUAAUGGAAACAAGUAUUUUUUGAAAUGUCUAGCAUCAGAACAACAUUGGAGAAUAAAAUACGUUUGAGAUGUGGCUACGUAUUACAUUAAGUAUUUUCCAUUAUUUUUUAAAAUAUAAAAUGAUUAACACUAUCAUAGAAGAUGAAAUAAAAGUGAUAUACAACAAAGUUUUUUUUUUCAUUUGGUUGAUAUAAUACUUUAUUAUUAUAUACUACUUCAAUGUUUACGUCGUCACAUAUCGAUUUAAAUUAGCAUAAUUUGUUAAAUAUCGUUUGUAACCCAGAAAUGACUAAUAAAUUUUUUUCUAU
Long non-coding RNA from Cylas formicarius (sweet potato weevil), 1064 nucleotides. RefSeq lists it as uncharacterized. The record is from RefSeq and is a predicted model, not a curated record. Lineage: Eukaryota; Metazoa; Arthropoda; Insecta; Coleoptera; Brentidae. The transcript is spliced from 3 exons.